GGUGGCUCAGUGGGUAGAAUAAAGGCCUUGCAAGCCUGAGGUCCAGAGUUCAAUCCCCUGCACCA
RNAcentral lists this transfer RNA (65 nucleotides) under Erinaceus europaeus (western European hedgehog). It matches the Rfam family "tRNA". Rfam says of the family: Transfer RNA (tRNA) molecules are approximately 80 nucleotides in length. Their secondary structure includes four short double-helical elements and three loops (D, anti-codon, and T loops). The record is from Rfam by way of RNAcentral. Lineage: Eukaryota; Metazoa; Chordata; Mammalia; Eulipotyphla; Erinaceidae.